This 447-nucleotide ribosomal RNA is filed under the name uncultured bacterium. RNAcentral describes it as "bacterial SSU rRNA". It matches the Rfam family "Bacterial small subunit ribosomal RNA", at positions 75 to 508 of the family's 1533-position model. The record is from RNAcentral.
AAAGCUUGCUUUUAAAGGUAGCGGCGGACGGGUGAGUAACACGUGGGCAACCUGCCUGUAAGACUGGGAUAACUUCGGGAAACCGGAGCUAAUACCGGGUAAUUCUUUUCUACACAUGUAGGAAAGCUGAAAGACGGCUUCGGCUGUCACUUACAGAUGGGCCCGCGGCGCAUUAGCUAGUUGGUGAGGUAACGGCUCACCAAGGCAACGAUGCGUAGCCGACCUGAGAGGGUGAUCGGCCACACUGGGACUGAGACACGGCCCAGACUCCUACGGGAGGCAGCAGUAGGGAAUCUUCCGCAAUGGACGAAAGUCUGACGGAGCAACGCCGCGUGAGUGAUGAAGGUUUUCGGAUCGUAAAACUCUGUUGUUAGGGAAGAACAAGUACGAGAGUAACUGCUCGUACCUUGACGGUACCUAACCAGAAAGCCACGGCUAACUACGUGC